Molecule: ribosomal RNA, 369 nt
Filed under: uncultured bacterium
Lineage: Bacteria
Description: bacterial SSU rRNA
Rfam family: Bacterial small subunit ribosomal RNA
Source: RNAcentral
GUACGCUAUUCAGAGUUGAUCCUGGCUCAGGACGAACGCUGGCGGCGUGCCUAAUACAUGCAAGUCGAGCGAGUCUGCCUUGAAGAUCGGAGUGCUUGCACUCUGUGAAACAAGAUACAGGCUAGCGGCGGACGGGUGAGUAACACGUGGGUAACCUGCCCAAGAGAUCGGGAUAACACCUGGAAACAGAUGCUAAUACCGGAUAACAACAGAUGAUGCCUAUCAACUGUUUAAAAGAUGGUUCUGCUAUCACUCUUGGAUGGACCUGCGGUGCAUUAGCUAGUUGGUAGGGUAACGGCCUACCAAGGCGAUGAUGCAUAGCCGAGUUGAGAGACUGAUCGGCCACAUUGGGACUGAGACACGGCCCAA